GACGAACGCUGGCGGCACGCUUAACACAUGCAAGUCGAGCGAGAACCAGUCCUUCGGGACUGGGGAAAGCGGCGAACGGGUGAGUAACACGUGAGUAAUCCACCCUCGGUACCGGAAUAGCCCGGGGAAACCCGGAUUAAUGCCGGAUGGCCCAUUUAUCCCUCGGGAUUUAAUGGAAAAGGUAGCUUAGGCCUCCGACCGGGGACGAGCUCGCGGCGGAUUAGCUUGUUGGCGGGGUAACGGCCCACCAAGGCGACGAUCCGUAGCUGGUCUGAGAGGACGAUCAGCCACACUGGGACUGAGACACGGCCCAGACUCCUACGGGAGGCAGCAGUGGGGAAUCUUGCGCAAUGGGCGAAAGCCUGACGCAGCGAUGCCGCGUGAGGGAAGAAGGCCUUCGGGUUGUAAACCUCUUUCAGGAGGGACGAAGCCACUCGGGUGAAUAGCCCAGAGGGUGACGGUACCUCCAGAAGAAGCCCCGGCUAACUACGUGCCAGCAGCCGCAGUAA
RNAcentral lists this ribosomal RNA (509 nucleotides) under uncultured bacterium. Its description in RNAcentral is "partial 16S ribosomal RNA". It matches the Rfam family "Bacterial small subunit ribosomal RNA", at positions 28 to 523 of the family's 1533-position model. The record is from RNAcentral.